AUGUGCUCGCACCGUCAGCCAAGCAUGACUACAUUACAAUUGAUUUCUGGGGAGCAAUUAAUGAUGUAUCUAAAAAUCAGAGAAUGGAACUGGUGCAGUUACCUUUUGAAGCACCUCUUCCAAGCUGUUAGGAAGUUUAAGACAGAUGUCAUAAAGCGCAACCCCACCAUCCACAUUGUUGGAUGCCACUUGGUCCUGCAGGUUUUUGUAUUAGAUAGCCUUGAUCUGGAUUUGUUGAGCAAAUUAAGGGGGAUGUUCCUGCGAAUGGCACUUUUUGAUUAUGAUUCAAUGAAGAAAAUGAUUGAGUCCAUUUCUGUUAACAUGGGAGCUGGGGAAAUAUCAUUCCACGGCGCAUCGGUCCGACAGAAUCUUAAUAUCAGCAAGGAAAUUGUAUGUGCCACCAACAUUGAUUUGAACCCAAACAAGUCAAGGGCAUCACCCAACACAAAACGAGUGCAGAUUCCAUCAACGGUUAUCCCCCGAAAUAAUUAUGGCAAGUCUGGUCCACUUGAAUUUUCGAAACAUCUGCGUACCAAGUACCCGUCCGUUUCGGGCGAGAAGCUUGGUAUACUUUUGAGAGAGCACAAUGCGCGUGGGCUGGCUAGAAUAUCAGAGAUGAGGGAAUCUUUCCAGAACUCGAUGUUUAGUUUCGCAGAUAAAAUAGUUAUCUGCAUAGCUGAAAAUUGUAUGUGUUGCAAGGCUAAUGGUCGAAAACAAUGCAUUCUGAAGAGCGAGCUUCCGACCAAUGGUAACAUUAACAAUGUGCCAACCGGAGAAGAAGAACUGUUUGUCACGCCAAUUGCGAACAAGAUAGUAUCAAGGUUCUCUGCGCCUGUCGAUAAUGAAGGUCAUCAUUUAGUUUCAGGCAACUAUAUUAGUACUACUAUGCAUGUAUCAUCAUCAACAGACUACAACAUAUCUAGACAUAAUCCAUCGAAAUUCAUGCAUUACGGGUACCUCAUCAGCAAAUAG
This 972-nucleotide ribosomal RNA is filed under the name Triticum aestivum (bread wheat). RNAcentral's name for it is "partial small subunit ribosomal RNA". Lineage: Eukaryota; Viridiplantae; Streptophyta; Magnoliopsida; Poales; Poaceae. The record is from RNAcentral.